RNAcentral lists this ribosomal RNA (465 nucleotides) under Vreelandella stevensii. Its description in RNAcentral is "partial 16S ribosomal RNA". It matches the Rfam family "Bacterial small subunit ribosomal RNA", at positions 338 to 795 of the family's 1533-position model. The record is from RNAcentral. Lineage: Bacteria; Pseudomonadati; Pseudomonadota; Gammaproteobacteria; Oceanospirillales; Halomonadaceae.
CCUACGGGAGGCAGCAGUGGGGAAUAUUGGACAAUGGGGGGAACCCUGAUCCAGCCAUGCCGCGUGUGUGAAGAAGGCCCUCGGGUUGUAAAGCACUUUCAGUGAGGAAGAACGCCUGGUGGUUAAUACCCAUCAGGAAAGACAUCACUCACAGAAGAAGCACCAGCUAACUCCGUGCCAGCAGCCGCGGUAAUACGGAGGGUGCGAGCGUUAAUCGGAAUUACUGGGCGUAAAGCGCGCGUAGGUGGCUUGAUAAGCCGGUUGUGAAAGCCCCGGGCUCAACCUGGGAACGGCAUCCGGAACUGUCAAGCUAGAGUGCAGGAGAGGAAGGUAGAAUUCCCGGUGUAGCGGUGAAAUGCGUAGAGAUCGGGAGGAAUACCAGUGGCGAAGGCGGCCUUCUGGACUGACACUGACACUGAGGUGCGAAAGCGUGGGUAGCAAACAGGAUUAGAUACCCCAGUAGUC